This 174-nucleotide ribosomal RNA is filed under the name uncultured bacterium. RNAcentral's name for it is "partial 16S ribosomal RNA". It matches the Rfam family "Bacterial small subunit ribosomal RNA", at positions 338 to 524 of the family's 1533-position model. The record is from RNAcentral.
CCUACGGGAGGCAGCAGUGGGGAAUAUUGGACAAUGGGCGAAAGCCUGAUCCAGCAAUGCCGCGUGAGGGAUGAAGGCCUUCGGGUUGUAAACCUCUUUCGACAGGGACGAAGCGCAAGUGACGGUACCUGGAGAAGAAGCGCCGGCCAACUACGUGCCAGCAGCCGCGGUAAU